CAUGUAGGCGGUUUUUUAAGUCUGGAGUGAAAAUGCGGGGCUCAACCCCGUAUGGCUCUGGAUACUGGAAGACUUGAGUGCAGGAGAGGAAAGUGGAACUCCAUGUGUAGCGGUGAAAUGCGUAGAUAUAUGGAAGAACACCAGUGGCGAAGGCGGCUUUCUGGACUGUAACUGACGUUGAGGCUCGAAAGUGUGGGUAGCAAACA
RNAcentral lists this ribosomal RNA (206 nucleotides) under uncultured bacterium. Its description in RNAcentral is "partial 16S ribosomal RNA". It matches the Rfam family "Bacterial small subunit ribosomal RNA", at positions 568 to 774 of the family's 1533-position model. The record is from RNAcentral.